CCUACGGGAGGCAGCAGUGGGGAAUAUUGGACAAUGGGGGGAACCCUGAUCCAGCCAUGCCGCGUGUGUGAAGAAGGCCCUCGGGUGGUAAAGCACUUUCAGUGAGGAAGAACGCCUGGUGGUUAAUACCCAUCAGGAAAGACAUCACUCACAGAAGAAGCACCGGCUAACUCCGUGCCAGCAGCCGCGGUAAUACGGAGGGUGCGAGCGUUAAUCGGAAUUACUGGGCGUAAAGCGCGCGUAGGUGGCUUGAUAAGCCGGUUGUGAAAGCCCCGGGCUCAACCUGGGAACGGCAUCCGGAACUGUCAAGCUAGAGUGCAGGAGAGGAAGGUAGAAUUCCCGGUGUAGCGGUGAAAUGCGUAGAGAUCGGGAGGAAUACCAGUGGCGAAGGCGGCCUUCUGGACUGACACUGACACUGAGGUGCGAAAGCGUGGGUAGCAAACAGGAUUAGAUACCCCUGUAGUC
Molecule: ribosomal RNA, 465 nt
Filed under: Vreelandella stevensii
Lineage: Bacteria; Pseudomonadati; Pseudomonadota; Gammaproteobacteria; Oceanospirillales; Halomonadaceae
Description: partial 16S ribosomal RNA
Rfam family: Bacterial small subunit ribosomal RNA
Source: RNAcentral